This is a long non-coding RNA of Falco peregrinus (peregrine falcon), 3953 nucleotides long. RefSeq lists it as uncharacterized. The transcript has 9 exons. Lineage: Eukaryota; Metazoa; Chordata; Aves; Falconiformes; Falconidae. The record is from RefSeq and is a predicted model, not a curated record.
UAAAACAUGCGCAUGAGUCACGGCAGUAUUUUCUGACGGGGAUUGGAGAUAAAUCCCACAGCAACUUGUGAUAAACUGGUCCUGGAUUCUCUAACAAACUGUUGUUCUGAAAGGUGUUGGAAGAUCAUGGCAUGCCAAUGGAUGACAGUGAAUUUAAUCUGCUAACAGAAACGCUACGGUUACCAGAUGGAGGGUUGAGUUAUUUGGAUUUUGUGGCAAUACUGGAAGAUGCCAGACUGAAUGGGCCAGGAGCUCCAUUAUGUGAUAGCCAUCUCACAGACUAAAUGGUGACAUCUUUUUACUUCAUCUUGGAGGUGAGGAAAUCCUGCAUCUACUUGGUUUGUGGGGAACAAACUUGACCUCCAUGUUAAAUUACCAAGAAUUCCAUCAACUCUUCCACACCUAAGAAACCAAGGAGUUUGGCUCGUGCCAUCUCACAAGUAAGAAAGAAAAAGUUGUGUAGUACCUACAGUAAUCUGAUGUGUUUACAGAAAUGAAUAUGCUGUGUGAAAAUUUGUAUUGGAUAUAACUGAAAAAAAAAGACAUUAUUAAAAAUGUCUUUAUCAAGCUGAAGCUGGGUAGCUUUACCAAGUUCUCAGUGAUUUAUGACUCUGUUAAAUUAGAUAUUGAAUCCACUACUGGGUUAAAAUGCCAGAACUACCCCAGGGGACUGCUUAAAUUUGUAAGGUCAAGCAUAUAUACUGGUGCCUGAGAUGCAGCCUUAGAGCUGAGCUAGCCUCCAAACAGGACAACUUUGCUGCAUCUUCCAGGCAUGCAGAGCUGGGGAUGUGGUUUGGGAAUCAGAUGUCAUUUUGAAUUCAGGAGCAGCCAGGGUAGUUCGCUGCCUGGCACAGUGUCUGUCAGUUCUGAGGCUGGUAUUAUCAGUGUAUGUUACGGUAGACCAAAGGCUCAUGCCCCAGACCUUUAAUGAUAAAGCAUUUCAGCACUAAAAAAUUAAUUCUAAAACCUCAGUGUGAAACUCUGUUUAACUAUGCAAACAGAGAAAAAAAUCAUAAAAAUAAUGACAAGAUACAGCAGGACUGAAAAUGCUCCCGAUCAGCAACUCAUCUCCGCUGUGGCAGUGAAGAUGUGAUAUAUACACAUAGGCUUAUUUCCCAGUUUUUAUUUGUCUUUUGCAGCAUUACUCCUGGCUCUGAUGUUAGUAAUAUUUAUCUGCUUGGUUUGUUUUUCUUUUUUCCUGAAUUGGACAACUGAAUGAAUCAAGGACAUCAGUUCAAAACAAGAAAGGAGACUGGUGAUGAUUGAGUCUUGCAAACAUUUGGAGUCUGAGACCAAUUACCGUCAUGCUCUUGUUUCCAUUUCAGUUUGGACUUUGCUAGAAAUUGAAACAUUUUGAAUUUAGCUCCAGAAUUUCCUUAUUUCAAAUACUAUUAUUGUUUCACAAGUCCAGUAAAGAAAAUAGUGAUUGAAAGCCUUAAGAGCACUUGCAUUUUCCCAGUUAUGUUUUUAGACUGUUUUUGUGGGUUGAUUAUUUAGGCUUAUGGAAUCUUCUCUCUAGCAGUGGGAGUGGAGAAAACCCAGAAGGUUCCCAGGCACCUGAAAUAGAUUAAAGCGGCAUUCAUGUUUCUAAAUCUGAACAGAGCUCUCAGCAAAGGCUGUCAAGGCCCAGAGCCCCAGGAGCUCAGGGAUCGCUGAGUUUGCAGUGUUGCAGUUCUCCAGGACCUAAGUUCUGCUCUGUGCCCACCUGGGUGGUACAGGAACUCAGUGGGUAGAUCACAUGUAGUUACUGCAUCUCACCUGGUCUGCAGACCCAAUAUACCUCUGCCUCUUGUUUGAGAAUCUUUGUCCAAGAAGUGUAUUCCUGGAGCUCAGCUGAACCGGGCUCUGAAGCCGUAUGUCUGUAACAUUUCCUUACAAAGCAAUAGCCAGAGCAGGAAUGAGUGCUGGGAUGCAGCAUGAAGUGGGCAGCUGUGUGUUAAGAGAAAUGACCAGCCUUUCCUCAGUUUUCUAACUGGAAGCACUUAGAAAAGCUAAAGAGAAUUGGGCACCAAAAGAAGGGCUGUGCUUCUCAGGUGAAGGAAAGCACACUAUUUCAAGGAAUGGUGAGACGUAAGGUCCCCUCGAUUCUCAGGUAGGUGUAUCCUUGCUUAGCACACAGAUCCUAAUCUGAUGCACCCAUAUUCCUCCCCAUGCUUGGAUUCAAUUAGAAGUACCAAGCCCCCAAAAUUUAGGCACCUGUAAUGGUGGCUGAAUUUUCAAAUAUGGGUCUUACUCCCCAGCCGUGUCGUGGAAAUUCACAAAGAUAGUUUUGAUCUACAUUAUUGAUGUAAAUCAAGGAUAAUCUUCCUGGAGUCACUCCAGGAUAUAAUUGUUUCUGAGAUAAUUAACAUUUCCUUCUAUGUGUAUAAAUGAUCUGUGCUGGCUCUUGAGUUUGAGGGAGAAUUGAACAACAUUGAUUUGAAAAUAAAUAGGGAAUUACAAAAUUUAAAACAUCUUGGCUAACCUGCAGCUAGGGAAAUAAGGCAGUAUUUAAAGAAUUAAGUUUACACAGAUGUGAAGUAACAGUCUUUAGUGGGUAUCUUAGAAACUAGAAAACAAAACCACCACUACCAUGAAGAACAACAAAAAAGAGGAAAACUUGUGGAGAUUAAAGAUCCCACUAACAUAAAACAUAGUUAGUUGUUAUUUUUUUUUCCUUUUCUGAGGAAAAAACCAGAUGAUAAUGGAUGCAGAGCUAGCUUGUGAUCACGCUCAUUACUACCUUGUUAUCAAAGCAAGAACCAGAUGGCAUGACCUAGCAAGGAAUUUUCAGGAAACGACAGUGAAGGAAAUGGCAUUAUACAGCCAAGGGACUUGAAGCAAGUCUUGUUCGGAUUUGGCAUUCUGAUCACCCCAGAAGAAUUUAAGCAGCUUUGGGCAAGAAAGCUGGAAGUGCAAGGGGAGUUGAAUCCAGGCCUCUGAACUCCUCAGAUUUCACAUAAGGCCCUGGAAAGCCAUAAAUGACUCUUAAGCCAGAGUCAUCAUUUGACGGAUUAAAUCCAUCUGCGUGGUGGCUGUGGAGGCAGCAAUCCAGCUGAGUGUCACCCUUCCACUCCAGGACCACGGAAGACAAAUGAGAUGCAGGAAGCACAGCCUUUACUUUCAUUAGGAAGAUUUAAGUGGAAGAUGAUAGUGGUGAUGAAGAGUGGCACUGAAAGUAACAUACAGUUGAAAAGGACUCCAGAAUUUUUCUGCAGUGAGUGUACAACACAAACCAUGUCACAGCUUCAAAGCACAGGCUUGCAAGAUGGAAGGAGCAUUGCUAAAUAUAUUGUCCUCCAGGGCUGGAAGGGAUAAAUUUAGGGAUUACUUCCAAGUUUUCAAUAAGGCCUUUCAUAAAGUGGAUAAAAAUAGAGAUGGCUGUGUAACAGUAUGUGACCUGCACAGGAUACUACAAGAAUUCAACUAUUACCUUGAUCACAAUCAGUUCAGCAGUCUUCUAAUCAGACUGAGGAAGGGCAAAAAGUCAUUCCACCUAAAUCUGCUUGGGAGCUGUCAAGAGAGACACGUCUUCUCACAGAUACAAGUAGUGACUGCUGGCUUUAACACAAUUGCACGAGAGUUUAAAGAUAUUUACUUUUCAAAAGAUAAUACAGUAUCAAAAAAAGAUUUCUGGGAUAUAUGUAACUGACAUUUUCAGUGGCUGACUGAAGAAAAGAAAGCUGUAUUAUUUUGUCUUAAUAUAAGUGUACGACUGGGUAUAUUGGCUAUGGCUAGAGACAUGUGUUUGCAUACUGCUGUGUAUAGACAAGUGGUUUAAAAAUUUGGAUGAACUGAAAAUGUUUUAAGACUAUCAUUCCAUGAACAUUUGUUCCUACAUUUGUGGGAGAUUUUUUUUUCCUUAUCUCUGAGUAUGGUUAUGAACUAUAAUAAUCGCAGGCUUUCUAAAGCAAAGUCAGAGAUGCUAUUGCUAAUAGCGAAGGUGUGAAUUUAAAGCACAGUAGUUCUCUUUC